Molecule: ribosomal RNA, 269 nt
Filed under: uncultured bacterium
Lineage: Bacteria
Description: partial 16S ribosomal RNA
Rfam family: Bacterial small subunit ribosomal RNA
Source: RNAcentral
CCCGGCGACCGGCGCACGGGUGAGUAACACGUAUGCAACCUGGCCGCCACAGGGGGAUAACCCGCGGAAACGCGGCCUAAUACCCCGUGACGCCACCGGAGGGCAUCCUCCGGUGGCCAAAGGAGCGAUCCGGUGGCGGAUGGGCAUGCGGCGCAUUAGCUAGACGGCGGGGUGACGGCCCACCGUGGCGACGAUGCGUAGGGGUUCUGAGAGGAAGGCCUCCCACACUGGGACUGAGACACGGCCCAGACUCCUACGGGAGGCAGCAG